CGGGGUGGAGUAACGCGUGGAUAACCUGCCUCGCACUGGGGGAUAACAGUUAGAAAUGGCUGCUAAUACCGCAUAAGCGCACAGUACCGCAUGAUACGGUGUGAAAAACCCAGGUGGUGUGAGAUGGAUCCGCGUCUGAUUAGCCAGUUGGCGGGGUAACGGCCCACCAAAGCGACGAUCAGUAGCCGACCUGAGAGGGUGACCGGCCACAUUGGGACUGAGACACGGCCCAA
This 233-nucleotide ribosomal RNA is filed under the name uncultured bacterium. RNAcentral's name for it is "partial 16S ribosomal RNA". It matches the Rfam family "Bacterial small subunit ribosomal RNA", at positions 104 to 334 of the family's 1533-position model. The record is from RNAcentral.